RNAcentral lists this ribosomal RNA (849 nucleotides) under Sirodesmium olivaceum. Its description in RNAcentral is "SSU rRNA". It matches the Rfam family "Bacterial small subunit ribosomal RNA", at positions 1 to 1186 of the family's 1533-position model. Lineage: Eukaryota; Fungi; Ascomycota; Dothideomycetes; Pleosporales; Paradictyoarthriniaceae. The record is from RNAcentral.
GCAGGANUGAGAGUUAAUAUAAGUGAUUUAUUAACUUGCUUGACUAGGUCUUAUAAAGUUCUGGAUAAAGCUGAUAAUGACAACUUUAUAUCCAUAGGUCUCGACUAAAUCUUGUGCCAGCAGUCGCGGUAAGACAAGGGAGACGAGUGUUAUUCAUCUUUAACAGGUAUAUUGGGUACCUAGACUGUGUACGAAGGCUAUAAUAGUACCUGUUACACUAGAGUUUAAUAUGUGAGAGGAAGAUGUCAGAAUUAUUGGUGUAGAGAUGAAAUCCUUUAAUACCUAUAGGACUGAUAAUGGCGAAGGCAAACCUCUAUGUAUAUAUACUUUAAAAUAAAAAAUUAUUAUCUAGAAGAUAAACUUAGAUAAUAAAUAACUACGAAAAAUAAUAAAUUUUAGAAAAAAAAAAUAAAGUAUUAGAACUGACGUUGAGGGACGAAGGCUCAGAGAGUGAAGAGGAUUAGAUACCCCCGUAGCCUGGGCAGACAAUGAUGAGUGCCAUAGGUUGGCUUUUGGCUGAACUAUAAAUGAAAGUGGAAGCACUCCACCUCAAGAGUAAUGUGGCAACGCAGGAACUGAAAUCAUUAGACCGUUUCUGAAACCAGUAGUGAAGUAUGUUAUUUAAUUCGAUGAUCCGCGAAUAACCUUACCACAAUUUGAAUGCUCUAAGGGAUGACUGCUGAGAUAUAUCUCAGCAGUUACAAAUUAGACCACAUGCGUUGCAUGGCUGUCUUCAGUUAAUGUCGUGAGAUUUGGUUAGGUCCAUUAAAUUAACGUAAACCCUUGUUUUAUUUAAAAAUAAUAAGGCAGCUCUCCGCUUACAAUUGGAUAUGAUAACAGGACUAAGAC